CUAUCGGGGUUGAUUAAGCCAUGCGAGUCGAGAAAGGUUUUGGCCCUCGGCGAACUGCUCAGUAACACGUGGAUAAUCUACCCUGGGGAGGAGGAUACUCCCGGGAAACUGGGGUUAAUACUCCAUAGCAAUGAUGCACUGGAAUGUCAUCGUUGCGAAAGAUCCGUCGCCCCAGGAUGAGUCUGCGUCCGAUUAGGUAGUUGUUGGGGUUACUGCCCAACAAGCCGAUAAUCGGUACGGGUUGUGGGAGCAAGAGCCCGGAGAUGGAUUCUGAGACACGAAUCCAGGCCCUACGGGGCGCAGCAGGGCGCGAAACCUUUUACAAUGCGGGCAACCGUGAUAAGGAAACCCCGAGUGGCCCGUAAGAGCGGGCUGUCCAUCUGUUUAACCAGCAGGUGAAGAAAAGGGGCCGGGGCAAGUACCGGUGCCAGCCGCCCGCGGUAAUACCGGCGGCUCGAGUGGGUGGGCCACUAUUACUGGGGCUUAAAGGGUCCGUAGCUUUGAGCAAUAAGUCCCUUGGGAAAUUCAGCAGCUUAACUGGGUGACAGUUCAGGGGGAAAACUGUUGUUCUAGGGAUCGGGAGAGGUAAGUGGGUACUGCCGGGGUAGGAGUGAAAAUCCCUGUAAUCCCGGUGGGACCCACCGGGUGGCGAAAGGCGUCUUUACCAGAAACGACUCCGACAGUGAGGGACGAAAGCUGGGGG
This 703-nucleotide ribosomal RNA is filed under the name uncultured archaeon. Its description in RNAcentral is "bacterial SSU rRNA". It matches the Rfam family "Archaeal small subunit ribosomal RNA", at positions 30 to 717 of the family's 1478-position model. The record is from RNAcentral.